This 794-nucleotide ribosomal RNA is filed under the name uncultured archaeon. Its description in RNAcentral is "bacterial SSU rRNA". It matches the Rfam family "Archaeal small subunit ribosomal RNA", at positions 85 to 879 of the family's 1478-position model. The record is from RNAcentral.
ACCGCUCAGUAACACGUGGACAACCUACCCAAAGGUCUGGGAUAACUCCGGGAAACUGGGGAUAAUACCGGAUAGGUCAAGAGUACUGGAAGGGUUUUUUGAUUGAAAGCUCUGGCGCCUUUGGAUGGGUCUGCGGCUGAUUAGGUUGACGCCGGUGUAAAGUACCGGCGUGCCGAUUAUCAGUACGGGUUGUGGGAGCAAGAGCCCGGAGAUGGAUUCUGAGACACGAAUCCAGGCCCUACGGGGCGCAGCAGGCGCGAAAACUCUACAAUGCAGGCAACUGCGAUAGGGGAACAUCGAGUGGCAUCUACAUUAGGUGUCUGUCCAGCUGUCUAAAAAACGGCUGUUAGCAAGGGCCGGGCAAGACCGGUGCCAGCCGCCGCGGUAAUACCGGCGGCUCGAGUGGUGGCCGAUAUUAUUGAGUCUAAAGGGUCCGUAGCCGGCUUUGCAAGUCUUGUGGGAAAUCCAGCGGCUUAACCGUUGGGCGUCUGCGGGGUACUACAUUGCUUGGGACUGGGAGAGGUAGGAGGUACUCAGGGGGUAGGAGUGAAAUCCUGUAAUCCUCUGGGGACCACCGGUGGCGAAGGCGUCCUGCCAGAACAGGUCCGACGGUGAGGGACGAAAGCUAGGGGCACGAACCGGAUCAGAUACCCGGGUAGUCCUAGCCGUAAACGAUGCUCGCUAGGUGUCGCAACAGUCGUGAAUUGUUGCGGUGCCGUAGGGAAGCCGUGAAGCGAGCCACUUGGGAAGUACGACCGCAAGGUUGAAACUUAAAGGAAUUGGCGGGGGAGCAC